RNAcentral lists this ribosomal RNA (811 nucleotides) under Sordaria lappae. RNAcentral's name for it is "eukaryotic LSU rRNA". It matches the Rfam family "Eukaryotic large subunit ribosomal RNA", at positions 77 to 921 of the family's 3401-position model. RNAcentral also lists the same sequence under 1 other name. The record is from RNAcentral. Lineage: Eukaryota; Fungi; Ascomycota; Sordariomycetes; Sordariales; Sordariaceae.
GCCCAAGUAACGGCGAGUGAAGCGGCAACAGCUCAAAUUUGAAAUCUGGCUUCGGCCCGAGUUGUAAUUUGUAGAGGAAACUUUUGGUGAGGCACCUUCUGAGUCCCUUGGAACAGGGCGCCAUAGAGGGUGAGAGCCCCGUAUAGUCGGAUGCCGAUCCAAUGUAAAGUUCCUUCGACGAGUCGAGUAGUUUGGGAAUGCUGCUCAAAAUGGGAGGUAAAUUUCUUCUAAAGCUAAAUAUAGGCCAGAGACCGAUAGCGCACAAGUAGAGUGAUCGAAAGAUGAAAAGCACUUUGAAAAGAGGGUUAAAUAGCACGUGAAAUUGUUGAAAGGGAAGCGUUUGUGACCAGACUUGCGCCGUUCCGAUCAUCCGGUGUUCUCACCGGUGCACUCGGGGCGGCUCAGGCCAGCAUCGGUUUUGGUGGGGGGAUAAAGGUCCAGGGAACGUAGCUCCUCCGGGAGUGUUAUAGCCCUGGGCGUAAUGCCCUCGCUGGGACCGAGGUUCGCGCAUCUGCAAGGAUGCUGGCGUAAUGGUCAUCAACGACCCGUCUUGAAACACGGACCAAGGAGUCAAGGUUUUGCGCGAGUGUUUGGGUGUAAAACCCGCACGCGUAAUGAAAGUGAACGUAGGUGAGAGCUUCGGCGCAUCAUCGACCGAUCCUGAUGUAUUCGGAUGGAUUUGAGUAAGAGCGUUAAGCCUUGGACCCGAAAGAUGGUGAACUAUGCUUGGAUAGGGUGAAGCCAGAGGAAACUCUGGUGGAGGCUCGCAGCGGUUCUGACGUGCAAAUCGAUCGUCAAAUCUGAGCAUGGG